UACGGGGGGGGCAAGCGUUGUUCGGAAUUACUGGGCGUAAAGGGUUCGUAGGUGGCCAACUAAGUCAGACGUGAAAUCCCUCAGCUUAACUGGGGAACUGCGUCUGAUACUGGUUGGCUUGAGUGCAGGAGAGGAACGCGGAAUUCCAGGUGUAGCGGUGAAAUGCGUAGAUAUCGUGAGGAAGACCAGUGGCGAAGGCGGGUCUCUGGACAGUUCCUGACGCUGAGGCGCGAAGGCCAGGGGAGCAAACGGG
RNAcentral lists this ribosomal RNA (253 nucleotides) under uncultured bacterium. RNAcentral's name for it is "partial 16S ribosomal RNA". It matches the Rfam family "Bacterial small subunit ribosomal RNA", at positions 524 to 776 of the family's 1533-position model. The record is from RNAcentral.